RNAcentral lists this transfer RNA (58 nucleotides) under Marmota marmota marmota (Alpine marmot). It matches the Rfam family "tRNA", at positions 8 to 63 of the family's 71-position model. Rfam says of the family: Transfer RNA (tRNA) molecules are approximately 80 nucleotides in length. Their secondary structure includes four short double-helical elements and three loops (D, anti-codon, and T loops). The record is from Rfam by way of RNAcentral. RNAcentral also lists the same sequence under 6 other names. Lineage: Eukaryota; Metazoa; Chordata; Mammalia; Rodentia; Sciuridae.
UAGCUCAGUUGGUAGAGUGCUUGCCUUACAUGCACAAGGCCCUGGGUUCAAUCCCCAG